This is a long non-coding RNA of Rattus norvegicus (Norway rat), 1153 nucleotides long. RefSeq lists it as uncharacterized. The record is from RefSeq and is a predicted model, not a curated record. NCBI's taxonomy places the organism in Eukaryota, Metazoa, Chordata, Mammalia, Rodentia, Muridae.
CGAGCCUGAGACCUGCAGGCUGGCCCCCAGGCUGGCGGGAUGCUGGUCAGGACUAGGCAGCGAGUCUCUCAGGGCUGGAGCCCAGAUGAUAUGGCGUUUACGACUGAGCUGGGGAGUUCCACGGUGGACCGUUCCAGCAGAGCAGUGUUUUCAGAGCUUUGUCUUGAGGUUCUCACAGCCUAAAGGAGUGGAGCUGAAGUAAAUCCUGAGGUGGAACACCGGUAAACCCUGGAAUGAUGCUGUAAAGCCAGCAUACUAUAAACUCUGGAGUGGAGCUACCGUAAACCUCAGCAUGGAACUGCUGGAAACCCCACGGACUGGAAACCCCACGGGUGGAUGCUGUAAACCCCGGAGUGAAGAGCAUCCCUCUAUCAAGAGCCAUUCCCUUCAACCAAGCACACAGAUUUGAGAGGGACAAACAUGGAGCCACAAGGGAGGAAAGAGACACCAGUUUAGCAAACCAGAAGAGUUGAACCCAUCUUGUGAUGGUUUGAAAAUGCUUGGCCCACGGACUGGCACUAUUUGGAGGUGUGGCUUUGGAGUGGGUGUGGCCUUGUUAGAGUGGGUGUGGCCUUGUUGAAAGAAAUGCAUCACCAUGGGAGUGGGCUUUGAGACCUUCCUCCUAGCCAUGUGGGAACAAGUCUUCUCUUGUUUGCCUUUGGAACAAGGCCUAGAACUCUCAGCUCCUCCAGCACCAUGCCUGCCUGGGUGCUGCCAUGCUCCCACCUUGAUGAUAAUGAACUGAACCUCAGAAUCUGUAAGCCAGCCCUAAUUAAAUGUUGUCCUUGUAAGAGUUGCCUUGGUCAUGGUGUCUGUUCACAGCAGUAAACCCUAGCUAAGACACACCUGGUGACCUAUAGGAUAGAAGGUGUUGUAGCUCGUACCCUGUAUCAAAAGUUAUUGCCACAUUUUGUAUUUCUCCUCUGAUAUGUGAUUUGUACUAAGUGUUAGUAUUGGGUUGACUUAUGUUUCAGAAAAUCCAAAGAAUGGUUUGAGUAUUGUUUUAUUGUUAUUAGUAGUAUUAGUUUCCAAACAAGGUUUCUCUGUGUAGCCCUGUCUGUUCUAGAACUUCUGUGUACUAGGCUGACCUCAAACUCAGAGACCCAUCAGCCCCUGCCUCUGAGUGCUGGAAUUAAAGGUGCGAUUCACCACA